AAUAAAAAAAAAAAAAAAAAAUGGAAGGAGUCAUUCCAUCGGUUACUGCAAAUUUGCACUAUCUGCAACACUUUGACCUUUCAAGAAAUAAUCUGAGUGGAACACUAUUUCAAAUGGUGGAUACUAACCAAUUUCAGAAUCUUGAUGAUCGCUUUUAGUCUUUGGAGCAAAGGCUACAAGAUCUUUCCAGAAAAAUUAAUGCAUGAGAACUUUGGGAUCAACCCUUAAAAGGUUAUGCAAAUGGAAAAUCUGAGGAGAAAAAGAAGAUGAUAAACAUGAACUUAAUGUUUCAGGCAAAGAAUUAGAACAUAGAACAAGUAUGGAACUUACUGAAUCUCAAUCUAGAGAUGAAGAUCCUGUAAUCCAAAUAGUUCCUGAAUCGACUUCUAAUGCUAAUGACAUUACAGGAAUACUGCCAAUUCCUGUGGUUAGAGAGAUGGAAGAGUAGCGAUAAAAACAUAUUUCAAAGGUCUCCAUGGAAUAAUUCCAUGAACCUUAAUGUUAUGAGAAGUUAAAUCUUGCAUAUAUUUGUCAAAUAUUGUAUUCCUAAUUAGAAACACAAUCAUAGGGAUUGCAUUCCUAUUUAGUUAGAGACAAAG
RNAcentral lists this unclassified non-coding RNA (599 nucleotides) under Hevea brasiliensis (rubber tree). The record is from RNAcentral. Lineage: Eukaryota; Viridiplantae; Streptophyta; Magnoliopsida; Malpighiales; Euphorbiaceae.